This is a long non-coding RNA of Hyaena hyaena (striped hyena), 199 nucleotides long. RefSeq lists it as uncharacterized. The transcript is spliced from 3 exons. The record is from RefSeq and is a predicted model, not a curated record. NCBI's taxonomy places the organism in Eukaryota, Metazoa, Chordata, Mammalia, Carnivora, Hyaenidae.
UCCACAUUUUGACCUCAUUGUCUGUGGUACAAACUUCUCAUCAACUUCUUCCUACUCGCAUUUUUCCCAUUAAGAGGUUGGAAAGAGUUCAACUUCGAUUUUAUGGACCGUCCCAGGUCUGCUGUGGCAAGCAAUUAGAAGAUUCCAUAAGUGAACAAAAACUUUCUACUGCUUCCUCAUGACUAGUUCCCCUUGUAAC